RNAcentral lists this ribosomal RNA (251 nucleotides) under uncultured prokaryote. RNAcentral's name for it is "partial 16S ribosomal RNA". It matches the Rfam family "Bacterial small subunit ribosomal RNA", at positions 525 to 775 of the family's 1533-position model. The record is from RNAcentral.
ACGGGGGGAGCAAGCGUUGCUCGGAAUCACUGGGCGUAAAGGGCGCGUAGGCGGCCAUUCAAGUCAGAGGUGAAAGCCCAAGGCUCAACCUUGGAACUGCCUUUGAUACUGUUUGGCUUGAGACCGGUAGAGGUAAGUGGAACUGCGAGUGUAGAGGUGAAAUUCGUAGAUAUUCGCAAGAACACCAGUGGCGAAGGCGGCUUACUGGACCGGUUCUGACGCUGAGGCGCGAAAGCGUGGGGAGCAAACAG